UACGUAGGGGGCGAGCGUUGUCCGGAAUCAUUGGGCGUAAAGCGCGUGUAGGCGGUUCGGUAAGUCUGCUGUGAAAGUCCAGGGCUCAACCCUGGGAUGCCGGUGGAUACUGCCGAACUAGAGUGCGGAAGAGGCGAGUGGAAUUCCCGGUGUAGCGGUGAAAUGCGUAGAUAUUGGGAGGAACACCAGUGGCGAAGGCGGCUCGCUGGACCGGAACUGACGCUGAGGCGCGAAAGCGUGGGGAGCAAACAGG
Molecule: ribosomal RNA, 253 nt
Filed under: uncultured bacterium
Lineage: Bacteria
Description: partial 16S ribosomal RNA
Rfam family: Bacterial small subunit ribosomal RNA
Source: RNAcentral